This 468-nucleotide ribosomal RNA is filed under the name uncultured bacterium. RNAcentral's name for it is "partial 16S ribosomal RNA". It matches the Rfam family "Bacterial small subunit ribosomal RNA", at positions 28 to 507 of the family's 1533-position model. The record is from RNAcentral.
GACGAACGCUGGCGGCGUGCUUAACACAUGCAAGUCGAACGGAAAGGCCCUGCUUUUGUGGGGUGCUCGAGUGGCGAACGGGUGAGUAACACGUGAGUAACCUGCCCUUGACUUUGGGAUAACUUCAGGAAACUGGGGCUAAUACCGGAUAGGAGCUCCUGCUGCCUGGUGGGGGUUGGAAAGUUUCGGCGGUUGGGGAUGGACUCGCGGCUUAUCAGCUUGUUGGUGGGGUAGUGGCUUACCAAGGCUUUGACGGGUAGCCGGCCUGAGAGGGUGACCGGCCACAUUGGGACUGAGAUACGGCCCAGACUCCUACGGGAGGCAGCAGUGGGGGAUAUUGCACAACGGGCGGAAGCCUGAUGCAGCAACGCCGCGGGCGGGAUGACGGCCUUCGGGUUGUAAACCGCUUUCGCCUGUGACGAAGCGUGAGUGACGGUAAUGGGUAAAGAAGCACCGGCUAACUACGUG